ACUAAAGUUGUGUUCACUGCUGUAAAUAUGGACGGAAAGUUAUAUGUAGGCUUUAGGUGAGCUAUGAAUGAGUUGUGUCUCGCUCAUAAAGAAUCCUACAGACAUUU
Molecule: non-coding RNA, 107 nt
Organism: Spinacia oleracea (spinach)
Lineage: Eukaryota; Viridiplantae; Streptophyta; Magnoliopsida; Caryophyllales; Amaranthaceae
Source: Rfam